This 3329-nucleotide long non-coding RNA is filed under the name Marmota monax (woodchuck). The record is from RNAcentral. Lineage: Eukaryota; Metazoa; Chordata; Mammalia; Rodentia; Sciuridae.
AGCGAGAACGAAGCCCUGUGGCGAGAGGUGGCCAGCCUGCGGCAGAAGCAUGCCCAGCAGCAGAAAGUCGUCAACAAGGUGGGGCAGGGCUGGCGGUGGUGGGUCCCUCCACAGCAGGGCUGGAGUGACUAUAUCCUCUCUGCCCUACAGCUCAUUCAGUUCCUGAUCUCGCUGGUGCAGUCCAACCGGAUCCUGGGGGUGAAGAGAAAAAUGUGAGGCACUGGGGGUGCCUGUACCCUCUGCUCAGGCCCUGGGCCCUCCCUGUGCUCCGUCUGCUGCAUCCUAGCGAGCAGCUAACCCCCACCCCUUCCCCACAGCCCGCUGAUGUUGAGCGACAGCAGCUCCGCACACUCGGUGCCCAAGUAUGGCCGGCAGUACUCCCUGGAGCAUGUGCAUGGUCCAGGCCCAUACUCGGUAAGCACUAGGUUGGGCAGGACGGCCCCCACAGGUCGUGCAGGGUGCUUGCUGCGUGCUCCAGGGUGGCCACAGGCAGACCCUACACGUGACCCAGCCCCUACCUCUGUUUGCAGGCUCCAUCCCCAGCCUACAGCAGCUCCAGCCUCUAUACCCCAGACGUUGUUACCAGCUCUGGACCCAUAAUCUCCGACAUCACUGAGCUGGCUCCCGCCAGCCCUCUGGCCUCCCCAGGCAGGAGCAUAGAUGAGAGGUGGGGCUGUGUACCCCCCCCCCAGCCCUCCUGUCACCUCACUGGGCCAGCCCAUAUGAGCCCGGGGUAGAGUUGGGAGGGAGUGGUGCCCGCUGAGGUUCCUGCUAACGUGUCCCCCAACAUGUCCAGGCCCCUGUCCAGCAGUCCCCUGGUGCGUGUCAAGGAGGAGCCCCCCAGUCCACCUCGGACGCCCCGAGUGGAGGAGGCGAGUCCCAGGCACCCGUCCUCUGUGGACACCCCCUUGUCCCCAACUGCCCUCAUCGACUCCAUCCUGCGGGAGAGCGAGCCUGCCCCCACCUCAGCUACAGUCCCCACUGAUGCCGGAGGCCGCGUCCCCUCGUCCCCACCUCGCUCAGCCCCCGAGAAGUGCCUCAGCGUAGCCUGUCUGGACAAGUGAGUGCUGCCCCUGAGCACACAGCCUGAGCCUGUGCUGGGACUGCCCCGAGGGGUGGGGUACUGAACCCCCAGGCCCUGCAGGGGUAUGGGAUUUGCAAAUAGUAAGCAAACAGGAUUAGGGCCAGGGAGGGAGUUGAAUUUGGCCAGAUCACUCUACAAUCUGGGGCCCCUGCCCGCUGGCCACCCUUUUGGCUGCCAUCGCCCUCUCCUGCAAACCACAGGACCCUUGCCUGUCAUGCUGCCCAGACCAGCAGCAAGAGAUGGUGAGCCGGGCCUGGCUUUGACCCCUUUGGCCCUGUCCAGAGGCUGAGUGAGUGAGGAUGGUGGGCUCAGAGCCCACCCUCUGGCCCCCACCUGCAAUGGGGGGGCUCUUGUCUUUGUAUCUUGCAGUUUGGCUCGCGCUCCACAGAUGUCUGGGGUCGCCCGCCUCUUCCCCUGCCCCUCCUCUUCCUUUCUGCAUGGCCGAGUCCAGCCAGGGUUAGCGCGGCCCCCAUUGGGGAGGGAGGAGGGCUCUGUCAGAGCUCGGGCCCCUCCUGCAGCCAUGAAGCAGACCCUGCCCUGUGCACAGCACUCACCCUGUUUGUCAAGGGUGCCGGGGGAGGGCUUCCCAGGCUCUGCAUCCUCACUGACUUCCCAGGCAUGGGCCAAUGGCUGUGACUGGGACAAAACCCUACCUGGCCCAGCCACCAGUGCAGGCAGGAUCCAGGCUGCUGUGCUGCGCUUACUUUCGGGGUGGGGUGGGCCCAUGGCACCUGUAGAGCUGUCCUGGCUGUCCUUCCCAUGGCCCCCAGAUACCCCCAGCAGCACCAGGGGAGGUGCAGACCCAGUCAUGCUGAGGAUAGCCUGUCUGCCUUCUUUACUCUUCCAAGUGCUGUGGCAAGACCUUGUUAAGCCUGAAAAACUGCACUAGAGCUGAACCCCUCGUCCCCUGGUGCUUUCUUGCCCCAGCCUUGAUCACCCCCAAGGCCUUCCAGCCUUGUACCAGUAUCCUGUGGGCCAAGCUGCACCCUACCCUCAGUAGUCAUGGAGGACACAGAGCUCACCACUGCCCUUCCAGCACCUUCCAGUUGUGUGUGUAUAUAUACACAGACACACUGUCCCCCCAGCCCAUGCUGGGGGUGCCGAGGGGCCCCAUCUAGGGAAUGGGUGUAGCCAAGGGAGAGCCCUUCUCUACAGGAGUGUGUCUGGGGCUCUGGUUCACCUGCCCACUCACCCCGGGCCAGGAAUGAGCUCAGUGACCAUUUGGAUGCCAUGGAUUCCAACCUGGACAACCUGCAGACCAUGCUGACCAGCCAUGGCUUCAGUGUGGAUACCAGCGCCCUGCUGGACGUGAGUCUGCCCUAUCUUCUCCCUGCUCCACCCCAUUCUCUGUAAGCCAGCCCUGACUUCCCUCCCUCCCUCCUGCAGCUGUUCAGCCCCUCCGUGACCAUGCCCGACAUGAGCCUGCCUGACCUUGACAGCAGCCUGGCCAGCGUGCGUAGGCGGGCAGGGUGGGGGGCGGGGGCACCAGCAGCAGUCCUCAUCAUGUCCCUUCCACCCCACAGAUACAGGAGCUCCUGUCUCCCCAGGAGCCCCCCAGGCCUCUUGAGGCAGAAAACAAUGGCCCUGACUCAGGUGAGCCAAGCCCUGUGCCUGCCCCCCAUCCUCCCACCACCCAUAUGGCCCUGACCCCCACCCACCCACAGGGAAGCAGCUGGUGCAGUACACAGCACAGCCUCUGUUCCUGCUGGACCCGGACGCCGUGGACACGGGGAGCAGUGAACUACCUGUGCUCUUUGAGCUGGGGGAGGGCUCCUACUUCUCCGAGGGAGACGACUACACAGAUGAUCCCACCAUUUCCCUGCUGACAGGCUCUGAGCCCCCCAAAGCCAAGGACCCUACUGUCUCCUAGAGAUGCCAAGAGGGACUGGGAGGGCCUGUGGCCUGCUUCCACCCUUAGGACAGGUUUGGGGGAGGCAGGACAGGCACACAGCCUCCACAGCCCCAGUGGGGGAAGAGGGGCUCAGGGCUGGACAGUGCCUCCAGUCCAGAGUGAGGGCCCUUGGGCCUGCACACCUGCUGCCUUCGCCCAGCCCCGCAUCCCCAUGGCUUGUUUGGGGCUUCACAGUCACAACUUGGACUGAUUCUGCAGGUUGUUCAUAGAAUUGUAUUUUGGAUUUUUACAUGAGGGUCCCCCUUUCCCCUUCACAGAGAAAUAUAUACACACAGACGGACAGACAAGACGGGCAGAGAUCUAUAAACCGACAAGCUCUAUGCUAUGGCUUUC